AAAAUAAAUAAAUAAAUAAGUAAAUACGCACGCAAUAACUCAAAAAGGUAAAAUUACUGAUGGGUUAAAACCUGAAAGGGCUUUCACAUGCAUGGAGAUAAGAUCAACUUUCCAGUUCUCAACACGUGUCCGUUCCUUGCACGGUGUGCAUCUGCCUAUCCUGCGCCUAGCAUAAACUUCCACCGUCACCCAUCUCUCCCCCCCUCUCUCACAGAUUUUUUUUUUUUUUUUUUUC
Molecule: unclassified non-coding RNA, 235 nt
Filed under: Hevea brasiliensis (rubber tree)
Lineage: Eukaryota; Viridiplantae; Streptophyta; Magnoliopsida; Malpighiales; Euphorbiaceae
Source: RNAcentral